This 710-nucleotide ribosomal RNA is filed under the name uncultured bacterium. RNAcentral describes it as "bacterial SSU rRNA". It matches the Rfam family "Bacterial small subunit ribosomal RNA", at positions 125 to 851 of the family's 1533-position model. The record is from RNAcentral.
CCUGCCUCAAAGAGGGGGACAACAGUUGGAAACGACUGCUAAUACCGCAUAAGCCCACGGGUCGGCAUCGACCAGAGGGAAAAGGAGCAAUCCGCUUUGAGAUGGCCUCGCGUCCGAUUAGCUAGUUGGUGAGGUAAUGGCCCACCAAGGCGACGAUCGGUAGCCGGACUGAGAGGUUGAACGGCCACAUUGGGACUGAGACACGGCCCAGACUCCUACGGGAGGCAGCAGUGGGGAAUAUUGCACAAUGGGGGAAACCCUGAUGCAGCGACGCCGCGUGGAGGAAGAAGGUCUUCGGAUUGUAAACUCCUGUUGUUGAGGAAGAUAAUGACGGUACUCAACAAGGAAGUGACGGCUAACUACGUGCCAGCAGCCGCGGUAAAACGUAGGUCACAAGCGUUGUCCGGAAUUACUGGGUGUAAAGGGAGCGCAGGCGGGAAGACAAGUUGGAAGUGAAAUCCAUGGGCUCAACCCAUGAACUGCUUUCAAAACUGUUUUUCUUGAGUAGUGCAGAGGUAGGCGGAAUUCCCGGUGUAGCGGUGGAAUGCGUAGAUAUCGGGAGGAACACCAGUGGCGAAGGCGGCCUACUGGGCACCAACUGACGCUGAGGCUCGAAAGUGUGGGUAGCAAACAGGAUUAGAUACCCUGGUAGUCCACACCGUAAACGAUGAUUACUAGGUGUUGGAGGAUUGACCCCUUCAGUGCCGCAG